AACGAACGCUGGCGGCAUGCCUCAUACAUGCAAGUCGAACGAGAAAGUACCUUCGGGUACGAGUAGAGUGGCAAACGGGUGCGUAACACGUGGGAACCUACCCUUUGGUUCGGAAUAGCCCUGGGAAACUGGGAUUAAUACCGAAUAAGAACUACGGUUGAAAGAUUUAUCGCCGAAGGAUGGGCCCGCGCUAGAUUAGCUUGUUGGUAAGGUAAUGGCUUACCAAGGCUACGAUCUAUAGCUGGUUUGAGAGGAUGAUCAGCCACACUGGGACUUAGAUACGGCCCAG
This 289-nucleotide ribosomal RNA is filed under the name uncultured bacterium. RNAcentral's name for it is "partial 16S ribosomal RNA". It matches the Rfam family "Bacterial small subunit ribosomal RNA", at positions 29 to 334 of the family's 1533-position model. The record is from RNAcentral.